GUGCUCACUUCUGCAGCACAUAUACUAAAAUUAGAAUGAUACAGGGAAUAGCAUAGCCCCUAUGCAAGAAUGACACACAAAUUCAUGAAGAAUUUCAUAUUUUU
Molecule: small nuclear RNA, 104 nt
Organism: Cebus imitator (Panamanian white-faced capuchin)
Lineage: Eukaryota; Metazoa; Chordata; Mammalia; Primates; Cebidae
Source: Ensembl